RNAcentral lists this ribosomal RNA (907 nucleotides) under Firmicutes bacterium enrichment culture. RNAcentral describes it as "bacterial SSU rRNA". It matches the Rfam family "Bacterial small subunit ribosomal RNA", at positions 28 to 904 of the family's 1533-position model. Lineage: Bacteria; Bacillati; Bacillota. The record is from RNAcentral.
GACGAACGCUGGCGGCGUGCUUAACACAUGCAAGUCGAACGGAGAUUAAGAGGAAGCUUGCGAAUCUUAAUUUUAGUGGCGGACGGGUGAGUAACGCGUGGGCAACCUACCUAUUAGUGGGGGAUAACAGUUGGAAACGACUGCUAAUACCGCAUAAGCUGAAAAAGACGCAUGUUUUUUUCAGGGAAGAUGGCCUCUGAAUAUGCUAUCGCUAGUAGAUGGGCCCGCGUCUGAUUAGCUAGUUGGUGGGGUAACGGCCUACCAAGGCUGCGAUCAGUAGCCGGCCUGAGAGGGUGGACGGCCACACUGGGACUGAGACACGGCCCAGACUCCUACGGGAGGCAGCAGUGGGGAAUAUUGCGCAAUGGGGGAAACCCUGACGCAGCGACGCCGCGUGAGCGAUGAAGGCUUUAGGGUCGUAAAGCUCUGUUGUAAGGGAAGAAUGUCGGAAGUGAUAAUACCGCUUUCGAAUGACGGUACCUUACGAGUAAGCCCCGGCUAACUACGUGCCAGCAGCCGCGGUAAGACGUAGGGGGCGAGCGUUGUCCGGAAUUACUGGGCGUAAAGAGCACGUAGGCGGAUAUUUAAGUCAGGUGUGAAAGACCGCAGCUCAACUGCGGGGUUGCACCUGAAACUGGGUAUCUUGAGGGCAGGAGAGGGAAGUGGAAUUCCUGGUGUAGCGGUGAAAUGCGUAGAAAUCAGGAGGAACACCAGUGGCGAAGGCGACUUUCUGGACUGACCCUGACGCUGAGGUGCGAAAGCGUGGGUAGCAAACAGGAUUAGAUACCCUGGUAGUCCACGCCGUAAACGAUGGAUACUAGGUGUAGGAGGUAUCGACCCCUUCUGUGCCGCAGCUAACGCAAUAAGUAUCCCGCCUGGGGAGUACGGUCGCAAGGCUGAAACUCAA